Molecule: unclassified non-coding RNA, 536 nt
Filed under: Aspergillus pseudoglaucus
Lineage: Eukaryota; Fungi; Ascomycota; Eurotiomycetes; Eurotiales; Aspergillaceae
Description: sequence contains ITS1, 5.8S rRNA gene, ITS2
Rfam family: 5.8S ribosomal RNA (bases 155-308)
Source: RNAcentral
AAGGAUCAUUACCGAGUGCGGGCCCUCUGGGUCCAACCUCCCAUCCGUGUCUAUCUGUACCCUGUUGCUUCGGCGUGGCCACGGCCCGCCGAAGACUAACAUUUGAACACUGUCUGAAGUUUGCAGUCUGAGUUUUUAGUUAAACAAUAAUUAAAACUUUCAACAACGGAUCUCUUGGUUCCGGCAUCGAUGAAGAACGCAGCGAAAUGCGAUAAUUAAUGUGAAUUGCAGAAUUCAGUGAAUCAUCGAGUCUUUGAACGCACAUUGCGCCCCCUGGUAUUCCGGGGGGCAUGCCUGUCCGAGCGUCAUUGCUGCCCUCAAGCACGGCUUGUGUGUUGGGCUUCCGUCCCUGGUAACGGGGACGGGCCCAAAAGGCAGUGGCGGCACCAUGUCUGGUCCUCGAGCGUAUGGGGCUUUGUCACCCGCUCCCGUAGGUCCAGCUGGCAGCUAGCCUCGCAACCAAUCUUUUUAACCAGGUUGACCUCGGAUCAGGUAGGGAUACCCGCUGAACUUAAGCAUAUCAAUAAGCGGAGGAA